UACGGAGGAUGCGAGCGUUAUCCGGAUUUAUUGGGUUUAAAGGGUGCGUAGGCGGACGCUUAAGUCAGCGGUAAAAUUGCGGGGCUCAACCUCGUCGAGCCGUUGAAACUGGGUGCCUUGAGUGGGCGAGAAGUACGCGGAAUGCGUGGUGUAGCGGUGAAAUGCAUAGAUAUCACGCAGAACUCCGAUUGCGAAGGCAGCGUACCGGCGCCCAACUGACGCUGAAGCACGAAAGCGUGGGCAUCGAACAGG
RNAcentral lists this ribosomal RNA (252 nucleotides) under uncultured bacterium. Its description in RNAcentral is "partial 16S ribosomal RNA". It matches the Rfam family "Bacterial small subunit ribosomal RNA", at positions 524 to 776 of the family's 1533-position model. The record is from RNAcentral.